RNAcentral lists this long non-coding RNA (672 nucleotides) under Anas platyrhynchos platyrhynchos (common mallard). Its description in RNAcentral is "lncRNA (ENSAPLG00000022719.1)". Lineage: Eukaryota; Metazoa; Chordata; Aves; Anseriformes; Anatidae. The record is from RNAcentral.
AUGCACACAGAUGUCUGCCUAAACAAAUGCUUUCACAUAACUGACAGUUCUGUACUUCCAAGCAAAUUUUGUCCCUUGUUUUCAGGAAGACCACACAACCCUGGAGGAUUCUGUCAGAAGGCUCUGCAGGGCUGUACUGUGAAUCAAAGACAGUCUUGCUCUGUGCCUGACAGAGUGCCUGGCUCUGCCAUCAUGGAUGGGGUCUCUGUGGUGAGCCUGGACUGUCCAAACACAUCUCAGCUCAGUGCUCCUCUUGUGUGGCUCUAGAAUCCCUGUCCACACACACCUGCAGGCUUCUCCAAAGCUUCAGACCCUGCACUCUCCUUUGCUUUGCAUUGGCUCCACUGUGGGAGCUCAAGGAUGUGUCAUGACAUCAGAACAAAACAAGGUAGCCAGCAAAAGCCAGCCAUAGGGAAGAGAGCAGCCAAGAAGAAGAGUGAGCCGACGGAUGACUCCUGGACACACUGGUAAGCGUGGCAUCUGGAAAAGUUUCUUUGAUGACUUGUACAAAAGAAAAUGUUACAAGAGGUACUGAUAGGAAAGUGCGAGCGAUUCACUGAAGAUGAAGCAACUCUCAGAUCAUAACUGUGUCUGUUCUCUUCUGAGCUACCGUAACCUUCACUUACACAAAGUUCCAUGCCCCCUGUUCUCUCCCUAGCGCUCAGGGAUGUG